This 1553-nucleotide ribosomal RNA is filed under the name Klebsiella pneumoniae. RNAcentral describes it as "bacterial SSU rRNA". It matches the Rfam family "Bacterial small subunit ribosomal RNA". The record is from RNAcentral. Lineage: Bacteria; Pseudomonadati; Pseudomonadota; Gammaproteobacteria; Enterobacterales; Enterobacteriaceae.
ACUUAAAUUGAAGAGUUUGAUCAUGGCUCAGAUUGAACGCUGGCGGCAGGCCUAACACAUGCAAGUCGAGCGGUAGCACAGAGAGCUUGCUCUCGGGUGACGAGCGGCGGACGGGUGAGUAAUGUCUGGGAAACUGCCUGAUGGAGGGGGAUAACUACUGGAAACGGUAGCUAAUACCGCAUAAUGUCGCAAGACCAAAGUGGGGGACCUUCGGGCCUCAUGCCAUCAGAUGUGCCCAGAUGGGAUUAGCUAGUAGGUGGGGUAACGGCUCACCUAGGCGACGAUCCCUAGCUGGUCUGAGAGGAUGACCAGCCACACUGGAACUGAGACACGGUCCAGACUCCUACGGGAGGCAGCAGUGGGGAAUAUUGCACAAUGGGCGCAAGCCUGAUGCAGCCAUGCCGCGUGUGUGAAGAAGGCCUUCGGGUUGUAAAGCACUUUCAGCGGGGAGGAAGGCGUUAAGGUUAAUAACCUUGGCGAUUGACGUUACCCGCAGAAGAAGCACCGGCUAACUCCGUGCCAGCAGCCGCGGUAAUACGGAGGGUGCAAGCGUUAAUCGGAAUUACUGGGCGUAAAGCGCACGCAGGCGGUCUGUCAAGUCGGAUGUGAAAUCCCCGGGCUCAACCUGGGAACUGCAUUCGAAACUGGCAGGCUAGAGUCUUGUAGAGGGGGGUAGAAUUCCAGGUGUAGCGGUGAAAUGCGUAGAGAUCUGGAGGAAUACCGGUGGCGAAGGCGGCCCCCUGGACAAAGACUGACGCUCAGGUGCGAAAGCGUGGGGAGCAAACAGGAUUAGAUACCCUGGUAGUCCACGCCGUAAACGAUGUCGAUUUGGAGGUUGUGCCCUUGAGGCGUGGCUUCCGGAGCUAACGCGUUAAAUCGACCGCCUGGGGAGUACGGCCGCAAGGUUAAAACUCAAAUGAAUUGACGGGGCCCGCACAAGCGGUGGAGCAUGUGGUUUAAUUCGAUGCAACGCGAAGAACCUUACCUGGUCUUGACAUCCACAGAACUUUCCAGAGAUGGAUUGGUGCCUUCGGGAACUGUGAGACAGGUGCUGCAUGGCUGUCGUCAGCUCGUGUUGUGAAAUGUUGGGUUAAGUCCCGCAACGAGCGCAACCCUUAUCCUUUGUUGCCAGCGGUCCGGCCGGGAACUCAAAGGAGACUGCCAGUGAUAAACUGGAGGAAGGUGGGGAUGACGUCAAGUCAUCAUGGCCCUUACGACCAGGGCUACACACGUGCUACAAUGGCAUAUACAAAGAGAAGCGACCUCGCGAGAGCAAGCGGACCUCAUAAAGUAUGUCGUAGUCCGGAUUGGAGUCUGCAACUCGACUCCAUGAAGUCGGAAUCGCUAGUAAUCGUAGAUCAGAAUGCUACGGUGAAUACGUUCCCGGGCCUUGUACACACCGCCCGUCACACCAUGGGAGUGGGUUGCAAAAGAAGUAGGUAGCUUAACCUUCGGGAGGGCGCUUACCACUUUGUGAUUCAUGACUGGGGUGAAGUCGUAACAAGGUAACCGUAGGGGAACCUGCGGUUGGAUCACCUCCUUACCUUAAAGAA